UGUCAUGGUUCUCUAGCCUCUUUUGAGGAUAGUGGAGUUAUUGAGCAAUUUGGUUUGAUCCAAGUUGCUUGAUGAGCUGUGACAAAAGCAUCUCUGAUGCCUUUCUACUUUCUGGUUUUUAUAGCGAAUUCCCAGAUAAGAUGCUGAGACGGUUUUAAUAUGUUAUGCUUUUUAAGUUAUCUUUUAUCCUUCAUUAUCCUCCCUUUAUCAUUUUGGUUUGAGUUGUGUUCAUUGCAAGGUGUUCUUCUCUGUGUCAUUGGAGAUUUGCCAUUGCUGAACUGUUGCUUUGAUUGUCUAUGCAUUUUUCAAAUGAGUUUCUUAUACGUUUAGAUUUUGUAUUUUUUCUAUUCGAGUCUUUCCCCAUAGUUGUGGGAUCUCUUAAAGACAGGUGACAGUGUCAUUUCAUUCAUGGUCCAGUGUAAAUACCAGCUAUACCUAAGAUGUAACUUAAGACUUUCAUCUUGUUCAUUGUGCAAUGACCAAGAAUGAUCAGACGUCAUUUCUUUAAUCUA
This 512-nucleotide unclassified non-coding RNA is filed under the name Hevea brasiliensis (rubber tree). Lineage: Eukaryota; Viridiplantae; Streptophyta; Magnoliopsida; Malpighiales; Euphorbiaceae. The record is from RNAcentral.